UCUGGUUCACCUUAUUCUGAUGAAGCAUCACUGGAUGCCAAAACAGAUUAAUGAGAUGAAAUUUGAUGAACUUCUUCUUUCAAUUCAGGAUGAACUCACGCUUGAUAAAAUAAGCGUAACCGCCCAGAAAUUUUUAGAUUAUCGAGACUGGAGAUCACAAAUUCAUCACUUUGAUGAUUUUGACGAAAAUGAAUGGGAUCCUAAUUUGUCUGCACAAUAUCUAAAGUAACAUCCUGUGAUAAAACCGUGAUUUCCUGAUCCAGUUUUUUUAAGGAGUCUAUUGUUUCCUGUCGAUAAGACAGCACUUCACGAAGCUGGUUUAUAGCUGCCAGCUUCUUUGUCAUCCACUCAUAAAUUUCCUCAUCUGUGUAGCCAGGCGCGACGAUUUUUGGUUCUGUUUUGUGCAUUUCACACCUCCUCAAGUUAUCAGUUACUUGUUGAUGGGGACCAGAUUGUUAAAGAGCUAAGCGUCCUGUAGGGCGCUUUUUUGUUGCUAACGAAUCAUCCUGGACUUCAUAUGCCC
This 523-nucleotide ribosomal RNA is filed under the name Escherichia coli 1-250-04_S1_C2. Its description in RNAcentral is "partial 23S ribosomal RNA". Lineage: Bacteria; Pseudomonadati; Pseudomonadota; Gammaproteobacteria; Enterobacterales; Enterobacteriaceae. The record is from RNAcentral.